CAGUGCAAUGUCAAAAGGGCAU
Molecule: non-coding RNA, 22 nt
Filed under: Xenopus tropicalis (tropical clawed frog)
Lineage: Eukaryota; Metazoa; Chordata; Amphibia; Anura; Pipidae
Also listed under: 3 other names
Source: RNAcentral